Molecule: ribosomal RNA, 278 nt
Filed under: Klebsiella aerogenes
Lineage: Bacteria; Pseudomonadati; Pseudomonadota; Gammaproteobacteria; Enterobacterales; Enterobacteriaceae
Description: partial 16S ribosomal RNA
Rfam family: Bacterial small subunit ribosomal RNA
Source: RNAcentral
AAGCACCGGCUAACUCCGUGCCAGCAGCCGCGGUAAUACGGAGGGUGCAAGCGUUAAUCGGAAUUACUGGGCGUAAAGCGCACGCAGGCGGUCUGUCAAGUCGGAUGUGAAAUCCCCGGGCUCAACCUGGGAACUGCAUUCGAAACUGGCAGGCUAGAGUCUUGUAGAGGGGGGUAGAAUUCCAGGUGUAGCGGUGAAAUGCGUAGAGAUCUGGAGGAAUACCGGUGGCGAAGGCGGCCCCCUGGACAAAGACUGACGCUCAGGUGCGAAAGCGUGGG